This 1346-nucleotide ribosomal RNA is filed under the name uncultured bacterium. Its description in RNAcentral is "partial 16S ribosomal RNA". It matches the Rfam family "Bacterial small subunit ribosomal RNA", at positions 28 to 1381 of the family's 1533-position model. The record is from RNAcentral.
GACGAACGCUGGCGGCGUGCUUAACACAUGCAAGUCGAACGGAAAGGCCCUGCUUUUGUGGGGUGCUCGAGUGGCGAACGGGUGAGUAACACGUGAGUAACCUGCCCUUGACUUUGGGAUGACUUCAGGAAACUGGGGCUAAUACCGGAUAGGAGCUCCUGCUGCAUGGUGGGGGUUGGAAAGUUUCGGCGGUUGGGGAUGGACUCGCGGCUUAUCAGCUUGUUGGUGGGGUAGUGGCUUACCAAGGCUUUGACGGGUAGCCGGCCUGAGAGGGUGACCGGCCACAUUGGGACUGAGAUACGGCCCAGACUCCUACGGGAGGCAGCAGUGGGGAAUAUUGCACAAUGGGCGGAAGCCUGAUGCAGCAACGCCGCGUGCGGGAUGACGGCCUUCGGGUUGUAAACCGCUUUCGCCUGUGACGAAGCGUGAGUGACGGUAAUGGGUAAAGAAGCACCGGCUAACUACGUGCCAGCAGCCGCGGUGAUACGUAGGGUGCGAGCGUUGUCCGGAUUUAUUGGGCGUAAAGGGCUCGUAGGUGGUUGAUCGCGUCGGAAGUGUAAUCUUGGGGCUUAACCCUGAGCGUGCUUUCGAUACGGGUUGACUUGAGGAAGGUAGGGGAGAAUGGAAUUCCUGGUGGAGCGGUGGAAUGCGCAGAUAUCAGGAGGAACACCAGUGGCGAAGGCGGCUCUCUGGGCCUUUCCUGACGCUGAGGAGCGAAAGCGUGGGGAGCGAACAGGCUUAGAUACCCUGGUAGUCCACGCUGUAAACGGUGGGUACUAGGUGUGGGGUCCAUUCCACGGGUUCCGUGCCGUAGCUAACGCUUUAAGUACCCCGCCUGGGGAGUACGGCCGCAAGGCUAAAACUCAAAGGAAUUGACGGGGCCCCGCACAAGCGGCGGAGCAUGCGGAUUAAUUCGAUGCAACGCGUAGAACCUUACCUGGGUUUGACAUGGAUCGGGAGUGCUCAGAGAUGGGUGUGCCUCUUUUGGGGUCGGUUCACAGGUGGUGCAUGGCUGUCGUCAGCUCGUGUCGUGAGAUGUUGGGUUAAGUCCCGCAACGAGCGCAACCCUUGUUCACUGUUGCCAGCACGUUAUGGUGGGGACUCAGUGGAGACCGCCGGGGUCAACUCGGAGGAAGGUGGGGAUGACGUCAAGUCAUCAUGCCCCUUAUGUCCAGGGCUUCACGCAUGCUACAAUGGCUGGUACAGAGAGUGGCGAGCCUGUGAGGGUGAGCGAAUCUCGGAAAGCCGGUCUCAGUUCGGAUUGGGGUCUGCAACUCGACCUCAUGAAGUCGGAGUCGCUAGUAAUCGCAGAUCAGCAACGCUGCGGUGAAUACGUUCCCGGGGCU